GUGAAUCAUCGAAUUUUUGAACGCAAAUUGCACUCCCUGGUAUUCCGGGGAGUAUGCCUGUUUGAGGGUCGUUAGAAAAAAAAUCGACCUGUCGCUCUUUUCUUUAAGGGUGAUGGCAUCGGAAUUGAGCCGUCUUUCCAAUGUUAAUUCAUGUCAAAGUCGCUUAAAAUUCAUCCAUCAGGUACGAUUAAAGCGUAUUGAAGAU
RNAcentral lists this unclassified non-coding RNA (205 nucleotides) under Funneliformis mosseae. RNAcentral's name for it is "partial contains 5.8S ribosomal RNA and internal transcribed spacer 2". The stretch from base 1 to 71 matches the Rfam family "5.8S ribosomal RNA", at positions 84 to 154 of the family's 154-position model. The record is from RNAcentral. Lineage: Eukaryota; Fungi; Glomeromycota; Glomeromycetes; Glomerales; Glomeraceae.